Molecule: transfer RNA, 69 nt
Filed under: Hoplodactylus sp. Marlborough Mini
Lineage: Eukaryota; Metazoa; Chordata; Lepidosauria; Squamata; Diplodactylidae
Description: tRNA-Trp
Rfam family: tRNA
About the family: Transfer RNA (tRNA) molecules are approximately 80 nucleotides in length.
Source: RNAcentral
AGAAACUUAGGUUAACAUAAACCAAGGGCCUUCAAAGCCCUAAAUAAGAGAUACAACUCCUAGUUUCUG